UACGUAUGGAGCAAGCGUUAUCCGGAUUUACUGGGUGUAAAGGGAGCGUAGGCGGUAAGGCAAGUCUGAUGUGAAAGGCCAGGGCUCAACCCUGGGACUGCAUUGGAAACUGUUUAACUGGAGUGUCGGAGAGGCAAGCGGAAUUCCUAGUGUAGCGGUGAAAUGCGUAGAUAUUAGGAGGAACACCAGUGGCGAAGGCGGCUUACUGGACUGUAACUGACGUUGAGGCACGAAAGUGCGGGUAUCGAACAGG
RNAcentral lists this ribosomal RNA (253 nucleotides) under uncultured Lachnospiraceae bacterium. RNAcentral's name for it is "partial 16S ribosomal RNA". It matches the Rfam family "Bacterial small subunit ribosomal RNA", at positions 524 to 776 of the family's 1533-position model. The record is from RNAcentral. Lineage: Bacteria; Bacillati; Bacillota; Clostridia; Lachnospirales; Lachnospiraceae.